This 398-nucleotide ribosomal RNA is filed under the name uncultured bacterium. Its description in RNAcentral is "bacterial SSU rRNA". It matches the Rfam family "Bacterial small subunit ribosomal RNA", at positions 358 to 773 of the family's 1533-position model. The record is from RNAcentral.
GGAAUAUUGGACAAUGGGCGCAAGCCUGAUCCAGCCAUGCCGCGUGAGUGACGAAGGCCUUAGGGUUGUAAAACUCUUUCGCCGAGGACGAUAAUGACGGUACUCGGAGAAGAAGCUCCGGCUAACUUCGUGCCAGCAGCCGCGGUAAUACGAAGGGGGCUAGCGUUGUUCGGAUUUACUGGGCGUAAAGCGCGUGUAGGCGGGUCGUUAAGUUGGGGGUGAAAGCCCGGAGCUCAACUCCGGAACUGCCUUCAAAACUGGCGACCUGGAGCAAGAUAGAGGCGAGUGGAAUUCCGAGUGUAGAGGUGAAAUUCGUAGAUAUUCGGAGGAACACCUGUGGCGAAGGCGACUCGCUGGAUCUUUGCUGACGCUGAGACGCGAAAGCGUGGGGAGCAAAC